GUCUGGUGCCAGCAGCCGCGGUAAUUCCAGCUCCAAUAGCGUAUAUUAAAGUUGUUGCAGUUAAAAAGCUCGUAGUUAAUUUUCUGUUAAUUUUUAUAUACAAUGCUACGGUAUUUAUAUAAUAUUAACAUAAUUCAUAUUACUUUUUAGUAUAUGAAACUUUACUUUGAGAAAAUUAGAGUGCUUAAAGCAGGCUAUUGCCUUGAAUACUCCAGCAUGGAAUAAUAUUAAGGAUUUUUAUUCUUCUUAUUGGUUCUAGAAUAAAAAUAAUGAUUAAUAGGGACAGUUGGGGGCAUUUGUAUUUAACAGUCAGAGGUGAAAUUCUUAGAUUUGUUAAAGACAAACUACUGCGAAAGCAUUUGCCAAGGAUGUUUUCAUUAAUCAAGAACGAAAGUUAGGGGAUCGAAGACGAUCAGAUACCGUCGUAGUCUUAACCAUAAACUAUGCCAACUAGAGAUUGGAGGUUGUUCCUUACUC
Molecule: ribosomal RNA, 477 nt
Filed under: Cryptosporidium ryanae
Lineage: Eukaryota; Apicomplexa; Conoidasida; Eucoccidiorida; Cryptosporidiidae
Description: SSU rRNA
Rfam family: Eukaryotic small subunit ribosomal RNA
Source: RNAcentral